This 1716-nucleotide long non-coding RNA is filed under the name Vigna radiata. Its description in RNAcentral is "long non-coding RNA (VRAD_LNC007664)". The record is from RNAcentral. Lineage: Eukaryota; Viridiplantae; Streptophyta; Magnoliopsida; Fabales; Fabaceae.
CCAUUUAUUAGCCCUGGUGGAUUUUACCAGAUAUACCUACGGGCAUGAGUAUAUUUCUUUCCCUGGACAUAACUAUUUUACGGGGUAAUUCUUAUAUAUUUAUAUAUAGAUCGAGAAAGAAAGUACAGUAUAUUAAACAACAAAAGAUAAAUUUUAAGAGAAAUACCCGUACCUAUUCUUUCAUAACAGCAGCAAACAGUUUAAAACACCUAUUCUUUCACGAUAGCAGCAAACAGUUCACUUUAUUAAUGGCUUCCAACAAAACACAGGAAAAUAUUACAUUUCCUACAUGGCUAUAUCUCAAAUCACUCACUACCUCCCUACCUGAGUCCACCAUUAGAAGUUUCAAACUGACUAUAAUAGUUGAAAGAAAAAACACAACAUAAACAUUACUUCAAGAUGAAACUGCAGUCUUUGUCUGUGUUAGCUAGCUGCAAGGUUUUAAAUCGCAGUUGUGCCAUAAAAUGAUUUUUAGGCAAAUAUGAACGAUGUGAUUACACUUGUGAUUAUGUUGCAGACUGUUUUUUAAAACCUUUUGAAGCUGAAUAACCAGUGUGCAUCUAUAUGUGAAUUGAACCUGGAAGAAAGGCUUUGCCUUCCCUAAGCCUUCAUGAAUUGCCUUCUGACACUCUCGCUUUAGAAGGAGAGUAGCAUAAUACUCAAGAACCAAACUUCUUUUUCAUCUUCCUCUUCACUUUCUUCUUUCUCCAUUACUUAGCUUAUACAGCAGUUGGAAUGAAUCACAUUGGUGGUUUCAAUUCUUGCAAACAUUCAAGCAUAUAUACAAACACUUCAAAGGCACAGACACGUGGAAGCAUUACCUUCAAUUUAUAAGCAAGGAAUAGAGAAAAGCGACAAAAAAAAACAGAUAAGCAUAGGCAUUAAAAAAAGAAUCAAAUCACAUUUCCACAUUUCCAUCCAUCAAAAAAUAUUCUAUUAAACACACUGAAGCAUAUUAUUGUUCUUCUGCUUUAAAGAAAAAUUCCGUUGAGGCUGCCCAUUUGAAAGAGGGUUGAAAAAUAGGUAAUAUAAUGGUUAUAAUAAUAAAAGGUGGUAGGUUUAAAGUGGUGAUAGAGACAAAAGAGGCAAGUGUAAAGAGAGAAUAGGGUUGUGGAUGAGCACUUGCAUAUAAGAAAUGUAGCAGAGUGGGUUGGCACCAUUGAAUUGGGGUGCGUGCAUGAGAAGAUAAGUGCUGAUAAAAUAGCCAUUAAUGGUUCAGUGGGCUUACCAAAUUCGGCCAUGAGUGUACUAUAACUAAAGAAAAACCAAUACUCUACUUUUUCUUAUUCUUCUUUAUAACGAUGAUAACAAUAUAAUAAAGAUACUUACAUAUAAUUUUUUUAUAAUAUCUAAACAUUGUUUAUGUGUCAUUAUAUGAUUGAUUCAUCAUGAUAUUUAAAAUUAUUAUUAUUGAUUGUGAAAUAAUUUUAGAUCAAUCACAUAAUACCAUGUAAAUGAUGUUCAAAUGUUAUAAAAGAAAUGUUUGUCUAAAUAUAUUUUAUCUACUUAUAUAACCUCAGAUCAUAUCCCUCAAUUUAGCCUAUGCCAUCUUUCCGUACCAAUGAUUCAAACCCCUCCUUAUAAAAUAACUCACCUUAUUAGGUUCAGGUAGCUAUGAAGAACCUAUUCAAUUCUCAUUUAUUUUUUAAGUUUAUUUUACUCCAUUUCUUUCAAAUAAGUAUAUAUUUCUCAAUUUUAAAUGUAAUUUAAUUAGUU